UACGUAGGUGGCAAGCGUUGUCCGGAUUUACUGGGCGUAAAGAGCUCGUAGGCGGCCAACUAAGUCGGACGUGAAAUCCCCAGGCUCAACCUGGGAACUGCGUCCGAUACUGGAUGGCUUGAAUCCGGGAGAGGGAUGCAGAAUUCCAGGUGUAGCGGUGAAAUGCGUAGAUAUCUGGAGGAAUACCGGUGGCGAAGGCGGCAUCCUGGACCGGCAUUGACGCUGAGGAGCGAAAGCCAGGGGAGCAAACGGG
RNAcentral lists this ribosomal RNA (253 nucleotides) under uncultured bacterium. RNAcentral describes it as "partial 16S ribosomal RNA". It matches the Rfam family "Bacterial small subunit ribosomal RNA", at positions 524 to 776 of the family's 1533-position model. The record is from RNAcentral.